UACAAUGGCGCGGACAGAGCGAUGCCAAACCGCAAGGUCGAGCCAAUCGCACAAACCGCGCCCCAGUUCGGAUUGCGGGCUGCAACCCGCCCGCAUGAAGCCGGAAUCGCUAGUAAUCGCGGAUCAGCAUGCCGCGGUGAAUGUGUUCCUGAGCCUUGUACACACCGCCCGUCAAGCCACCAAAGCGGGGGGCAUCCGAAGUCGCCGGAGCCGCGAGGCAGGCGCCGAAGGUGAAACCCGUGAUGGGGACUAAGUCGUAACAAGGUAACC
Molecule: ribosomal RNA, 270 nt
Filed under: uncultured bacterium
Lineage: Bacteria
Description: partial 16S ribosomal RNA
Rfam family: Bacterial small subunit ribosomal RNA
Source: RNAcentral